This 49-nucleotide small nucleolar RNA is filed under the name Pyrobaculum neutrophilum V24Sta. Its description in RNAcentral is "PNEsR32". The record is from RNAcentral. Lineage: Archaea; Thermoproteati; Thermoproteota; Thermoprotei; Thermoproteales; Thermoproteaceae.
GUGAUGUCAACUCUGGGGUCCGACCUGUGACGACACUGACCUGCCCUGA